Molecule: ribosomal RNA, 465 nt
Filed under: Vreelandella stevensii
Lineage: Bacteria; Pseudomonadati; Pseudomonadota; Gammaproteobacteria; Oceanospirillales; Halomonadaceae
Description: partial 16S ribosomal RNA
Rfam family: Bacterial small subunit ribosomal RNA
Source: RNAcentral
CCUACGGGUGGCUGCAGUGGGGAAUAUUGGACAAUGGGGGCAACCCUGAUCCAGCCAUGCCGCGUGUGUGAAGAAGGCCCUCGGGUUGUAAAGCACUUUCAGUGAGGAAGAACGCCUGGUGGUUAAUACCCAUCAGGAAAGACAUCACUCACAGAAGAAGCACCGGCUAACUCCGUGCCAGCAGCCGCGGUAAUACGGAGGGUGCGAGCGUUAAUCGGAAUUACUGGGCGUAAAGCGCGCGUAGGUGGCUUGAUAAGCCGGUUGUGAAAGCCCCGGGCUCAACCUGGGAACGGCAUCCGGAACUGUCAAGCUAGAGUGCAGGAGAGGAAGGUAGAAUUCCCGGUGUAGCGGUGAAAUGCGUAGAGAUCGGGAGGAAUACCAGUGGCGAAGGCGGCCUUCUGGACUGACACUGACACUGAGGUGCGAAAGCGUGGGUAGCAAACAGGAUUAGAUACCCCAGUAGUU